CCUACGGGACGCAGCAGUGAGGAAUAUUGGUCAAUGGGCGAGAGCCUGAACCAGCCAAGUCGCGUGAGGGAAGACGGUCCUAUGGAUUGUAAACCUCUUUUGCCGGGGAGCAAAAAGCGGUACGUGUACCGCAUCGAGAGUACCCGGAGAAAAAGCAUCGGCUAACUCCGUGCCAGCAGCCGCGGUAAUACGGAGGAUGCGAGCGUUAUCCGGAUUUAUUGGGUUUAAAGGGUGCGUAGGUGGUUAAUUAAGUCAGCGGUGAAAGUUUGUGGCUCAACCAUAAAAUUGCCGUUGAAACUGGUUGA
Molecule: ribosomal RNA, 305 nt
Filed under: uncultured bacterium
Lineage: Bacteria
Description: bacterial SSU rRNA
Rfam family: Bacterial small subunit ribosomal RNA
Source: RNAcentral